Xiphophorus maculatus (southern platyfish) is the source of this 727-nucleotide RNA transcript. It is a transcript of the gene named LYR motif containing 1, with no coding region annotated. The transcript is spliced from 7 exons. The record is from RefSeq and is a predicted model, not a curated record. Lineage: Eukaryota; Metazoa; Chordata; Actinopteri; Cyprinodontiformes; Poeciliidae.
CAGCCAGCGACCAUGUCACCGCUUUAAAAACAACAGGCCCAGAUGGCGCUGUCCACUCGCUCCACCGUGUUAUCUCUCUACAUCCGGGUGUUUCGGAUCGCCCGGGCCUGGCAGGCCCAGACCGGCGCCGCGAGCGACUCGGAGGCGGAGAGGCGGUACAUCGAGCAAGAGGCCCGGUCUCUGUUCAGGCAGAACCAGCCGCUCACAGAUCCAGAAUCCAUAAGGAGAUGCAUAGAGGAAUGUGAAGCCAGGAUAGAAAUAGGUCUGCAUUACAGGAAUCCGUACCCCAGAGCGACCUACCUGCCUCCUCUGGGUCUGGCCACGCAGCGGGGCAGGCGGCUGCGCGCUCAGCAGCGCCUCCGGAAGCAGGCCAAACCCGUCUACCUGCAGUCCCACGACGACACCUGAAGGCGCCGUCCCCGGUUACCAUGGUUACCUCAGAGAGGAAGCCGGAGUCCGCAUCAGGGGCCGAACUUCUGCAAGCGGGCUGCCGCAUGGGGGAGCCAUUUCACCGGAAUCAGAAGAAGUUGAACCAGAACUAAGGAUCUAAGUUAUAUAAUAAUGGCUGUUAUAAAGAAGAGCUCCUGUGGCAGUCCAUGUGGCAGUGAAGGUGAAGGAACCUCUGACUGAAGACAAGAAGAUGCUCAGAGUUCUCCAUAAUUAUUAUGAGAUAAUAUAAAUAAAAUCAAUAUAAUUUAUUUCAUUAUUCAAAAUAAAUAAAUAAAAC